RNAcentral lists this ribosomal RNA (406 nucleotides) under uncultured bacterium. RNAcentral's name for it is "partial 16S ribosomal RNA". It matches the Rfam family "Bacterial small subunit ribosomal RNA", at positions 28 to 526 of the family's 1533-position model. The record is from RNAcentral.
GACGAACGCUGGCGGCGUGCUUAACACAUGCAAGUCGAACGAGUGGCGAACGGGUGAGUAAUACGUGGGAACCUGCCCUCCUUUUUGGGAUAAGCCUUGGAAACGGGGUCUAAUACCGAAUACUGAUGGAUGGACCCGCGGUGCAUUAGCUAGUUGGUGAGGUAACGGCUCACCAAGGCCACGAUGCAUAGCCGACCUGAGAGGGUGAUCGGCCACACUGGGACUGAGACACGGCCCAGACUCCUACGGGAGGCAGCAGUGGGGAAUAUUGCACAAUGGGCGCAAGCCUGAUGCAGCCAUGCCGCGUGUGUGAAGAAGGCCUUCGGGUUGUAAAGCACUUUCAGCGAGGAGGAGUUACUCGCAGAAGAAGCACCGGCUAACUCCGUGCCAGCAGCCGCGGUAAUUC